This 348-nucleotide unclassified non-coding RNA is filed under the name soil metagenome. Its description in RNAcentral is "partial contains 5.8S ribosomal RNA, internal transcribed spacer 2, and large subunit ribosomal RNA". The stretch from base 1 to 120 matches the Rfam family "5.8S ribosomal RNA", at positions 35 to 154 of the family's 154-position model. The record is from RNAcentral.
GAUGAAGAACGUAGCGAAAUGCGAAAAGUAAUGUGAAUUGCAGAAUUCAGUGAACCAUCGAAUCUUUGAACGCACAUUGCGCCCGCUGGAACUCCGGCGGGCACGCCUGUCCGAGCGUCAUUUCAACCCUCAGGCCCCCCUUCGCGGGCGGGCCUGGUGUUGGGGCCCGGCCGCUACCCUGCGGCCGUCCCCUAAAUCCAGUGGCGGCCUCGCCGUGAUCCCUUGCGUAGUAAUGCACCUCGCACCAGAGAGCGCCGUGGCCACGCCGUAAAACCCCCAAUUUUCAAUGGUUGACCUCGGAUCAGGUGGGAAUACCCGCUGAACUUAAGCAUAUCAAUAAGCGGAGGA